GCUGGCCAGGGUGGCGCAUGCCUGUAAUCCCAGUGGCUUGGGAAGCAGGGACAGGAGAAUCAUGAGUUCAGAGCCAACCUUAGCAACUCAAAGUGAGGCCCUAAGCAACUUAGUGAGACCCUGUCUA
This 127-nucleotide small RNA is filed under the name Marmota monax (woodchuck). The record is from RNAcentral. Lineage: Eukaryota; Metazoa; Chordata; Mammalia; Rodentia; Sciuridae.